ACAAAGAUAUUAGUAAGUCUUCUGCUUGUUCCAAGUCUACUAAUGAUCCUGAAUUUAGCUCAUGGUAGUUUUCAGCUCAAGAACUAACAAGCUCCAUAGGCCAGAGAUACAACAUGUUCACAGAUAAAUGAAAAGAAGUUAACUUAGAGAAGAAAAAAACAUGAAAAAAUUUGGAGAAGGGAAAAUAAUUUAAGACUUUUCAGAGGAAAUAGACCUGAGAUGAAUAUUGAAGAAGCAGAUUUCAAGGAUUUCAAAAGACUUAGCAUGGAAGGAGAUCAUCUGGUACCAUCACCUCUUUUUAGAGAUGAGGAAACCGGAAUCCAAAGAGAAGCAACAUUUUGCCAAAUUUAUAAAGAAGAAAAUGUCCAAACUUGAGUAGAGGGGAAGGGGAAACUAUGAAGCCACUAUAAGGUAAGUAGUAGUGGAGAAAAUAACUAAGGUGAGUCAUAGGUAUGAGACCUGUGGAGAAGAGAAUAUGGGAAAAAUCAAAAGAAGAUACCUGGGAAACUUAGUGAGGGAUAAAGGAAAGGAUGAUAAAAUAAUUUCCAAUAAAGGAAAGAGAGUAGGUAUUUCAUAGAGACUAGAAAGGAAAAGGAAGGAAGAAGGAAAAAAAAUAUAAGAAAACUAUGUGUAUAUGGGGAGAUAGAUAUCACAGGGAAGGACUAGAGUCGAAUAAUCUGAUGUACUUGAGGCACUGGACUUUUAGAGAAGUUAUGAAAGGUUAUAAAACAAUGUUAACUCAAUACCUGUCUGCCAAUUGACUCUCAGGCACAAUUCAAAUAAAAAUAUCAUCAACAGAACCAGCGAACCAGGUAGCUUGAAAAAAGCUCUCCAGGGGACCUCUUCUUGAAGAAGAUACUGCCACUGAUGUUGCUUACUGAUAACACACCUCCAGAUUCCCUGGCUCUCACAUAUGGGAUAGUGAUCCCAAUAAUCUUCUGAGAGAAAGAGGACCCCAAAAUGAUCUUUUUAUUAGUAAUAAGGAACAGCAAGAUCUUGUUAUCAAUAUCUCAGUCAGACAAGCAAUCUAUACACAUUUCUUAUAAUCCUUUAAUCCCUCUCUCCCACCUUCUUGGGGAAACCAGCUUUUAAAACAGGAUACAUGGAUAAAUUUCAGGGAGUGAAUAAGAAAGGUGGUUUGGAAGAGGUUUAUUAAUGAAUCUGAUAUUAGGUCAGCAUUAAAACUGAAAAAGUGCACUUUUUUUUAAGGUAACCAGAUAUGUGAAUGUGAUCAAUAGCAAUUGAACUAUAAGAAAAAAAAAAAAAAGUAAGUCAAAGAAGCAUGAGAAUCUGUAUGAACUGAUGCACAGUGAAUUAAACAGAACCAGAAGCACACAAGGACAAAAAACAUAAAAAUGAAGAUAACUCAGAAGAUCUUCAAAACUGAUUCAUAAUCACCAGUUUUUUUCUAUCAUGAGAACAGACGAUGAAAUACACAUUUCUCUCCUCUCAUAGAGAAAUGAAGGAUAACAAUUUUGGAAUUCUGUAUAUGCUAUCAUACAUAUUCCCUGUUUUUGUUCUGUUUUACUGCCACUCCUCCCCUCUCCCCCAAAUUCUGUGCUACAAGAAAAGUUUCAAUUUAGAGAAAGGAUCUGGAUGUGUAAUUCCAUUCAGGGUAGAAAAGCCCUCCAUUAGAAUGUAAGUCUUUUGUGCAUAAGAAUUAUUUCAUACUUUCUUAUAUCCCAAUAUAGUAUCCAGAACAUAAUAAAUGCUUAACAAAUA
Long non-coding RNA from Antechinus flavipes (yellow-footed antechinus), 1722 nucleotides. RefSeq lists it as uncharacterized. The record is from RefSeq and is a predicted model, not a curated record. NCBI's taxonomy places the organism in Eukaryota, Metazoa, Chordata, Mammalia, Dasyuromorphia, Dasyuridae. The transcript is spliced from 4 exons.